CUACGUAGGGGGCAAGCGUUAUCCGGAUUUACUGGGUGUAAAGGGAGUGUAGGCGGUCUGGCAAGUCUGAUGUGAAACUCCGCAGCUCAACUGCGGAACUGCAUUGGAAACUGUCAGACUAGAGUGCAGGAGAGGAAAGUGGAAUUCCUAGUGUAGCGGUGAAAUGCGUAGAUAUUAGGAAGAACACCAGUGGCGAAGGCGGCUUUCUGGACUGUAACUGACGCUGAGGCUCGAAAGCGUGGGGAGCAAACAGGAUUAGAUACCCUGGUAGUCACGCCGUAAACGAUGAAUACUAGGUGUCGGGUGGCAAAGCCAUUCGGUGCCGCAGCUAACGCAAUAAGUAUUCCACCUGGGGAGUACGUUCGCAAGAAUGAAACUCAAAUGAAUUGACGGGG
RNAcentral lists this ribosomal RNA (395 nucleotides) under uncultured bacterium. Its description in RNAcentral is "partial 16S ribosomal RNA". It matches the Rfam family "Bacterial small subunit ribosomal RNA", at positions 523 to 918 of the family's 1533-position model. The record is from RNAcentral.